This is a long non-coding RNA of Homo sapiens (human), 1186 nucleotides long. RefSeq lists it as uncharacterized. The record is from RefSeq and is a predicted model, not a curated record. The transcript is spliced from 4 exons. NCBI's taxonomy places the organism in Eukaryota, Metazoa, Chordata, Mammalia, Primates, Hominidae.
AGCCUUGGCCGGAGAGGCGGUAGAGUAGGGUGGGUGUUUUGUCAGGCCUGAGUUAGCUUCGCCAUACGGCGCUUUUCGCUGGUGUCUCUGCCUCGUUCUGAGUAGACCCCCUAGACCUCACCGCCGCCCCUGCGUUUUACCUCAAUAUUACAGACCAGACCAAGGGUCUCCAACUCCCAGACCAGUCCACACAGAAGGAGGUGAACAUCAGUCCAGCGAAGCUUCAUGUAUAUUUACAGCCACUCCCCAUCACUUGCAUUACCAUCUGAGCUCUUCCUCCUGUCACAUCAGUGGUGGCCUUAGACUCAUAGGAGCGUGAACCCUAUUGUGAACUGCGAGUGCAAGGGAUCUAGGUUGCAGGCUGCUUGUGAGAAUCUAAGGUCUGAUGAUCUGUCACUGUCUCCCAUCAUGCCAACAUGUGAUCAUCUAGUUGCAGGAAAACAAGCUCAGGGCUCCCAUUGAUUCUACAUUAUGCACUUGCUACAGGGGAAGUGAACUGCUAUGUCCUGAGAUAACUGAGAGGUUGUGGAGAGUGACUCCAUGAGUCUGUGGAGAGGUCAAUAUGACAAAGAACUGAAGCUUGCCAAUAGCCAUUUGAGUGAGCUUGGAAGUGGACCUUUCCCCAGGAGAGGAAGGGUAUUCCCGUUCAUCCCAGUAAUGCUAAUCGAGGAAAUGGUCCUCGAGGAAAUGACGCUGCAGCAACAGCAUCACCUGGGGACUUGUUAGCAACAGAAGUUCUCAGACUCCGCCAUAGAACUACUGAAUCAGAAAUUCUGGAAUAAGGCCCAGCAUUCCAUGUUCUAACAAACCUUCCAGGUGACUGUAAUGUACAUUCAAGUUUAAGAACCACUGUAAUAGACCCAUUUCUUGGUUGAUUAAAUGGAUCUUAUAUUGUAAAUAAGCAGAAUAGUCAAAUGUUCCUUCACACAAUAGGCUAGGGCUGCUAUUUGACAGGAUCAUGGUCGUUUUAACAGGAGGAAUAUGAUGAAUCUGAAAAAUGGAAACAAUAUUUGCAAUGGCAGUUGUGUGUCCCUAUGCAACAUGAGGUGGGGAGGCCUUGAGGAUUCCACUGAUGGAAAGAAUUGAGCUGAAAUCUGAGCACCUGCCAUCCUCUUCCUCCUCUCCCCUCCCAACAUCUGCAUGGAACCACAGCCCUCCCCUCUUUCCUUUGGAGCCAGUGAAGCAU